RNAcentral lists this ribosomal RNA (471 nucleotides) under uncultured bacterium. RNAcentral describes it as "bacterial SSU rRNA". It matches the Rfam family "Bacterial small subunit ribosomal RNA", at positions 355 to 825 of the family's 1533-position model. The record is from RNAcentral.
UCGCGAAUCAUUCACAAUGGACGCAAGUCUGAUGAUGCCACGCCGCGUGCGGGAUGAAGGCCCUUUGGGUUGUAAACCGCUGUCAAGGGAGGGGAAACACCUAGUGUUAACAGCGCUAGGCUUGACUGCUCCCUAAAGGAAGCCCCGGCAAAACAUGUGCCAGCAGCCGCGGUAAUACAUGUGGGGCAAGCGUUGUUCGGAAUUACUGGGCAUAAAGGGUGCGUAGGCGGUUUGUUAAGUCACUGGUGAAAGUUUGCGGCCCAACCGUAAAAUUGCCUGUGAUACUGGCGAACUUGAGUGCGUGAGGGGUAGGGGGAACGAGCAGUGUAGCGGUGAAAUGCGUAGAUAUUGCUCGGAAGGCCGGAGCCGAAGGGGCCCUACUGGUACGUAACUGACGCUGAGGCACGAAAGCGUGGGGAGCAAACAGGAUUAGAUACCCAUGUAGUCCCUGAGCGGGCUGGCAAGGCGCAU